RNAcentral lists this ribosomal RNA (634 nucleotides) under Penicillium reticulisporum. RNAcentral's name for it is "eukaryotic LSU rRNA". It matches the Rfam family "Eukaryotic large subunit ribosomal RNA", at positions 1 to 649 of the family's 3401-position model. Lineage: Eukaryota; Fungi; Ascomycota; Eurotiomycetes; Eurotiales; Aspergillaceae. The record is from RNAcentral.
UUGACCUCGGAUCAGGUAGGGAUACCCGCUGAACUUAAGCAUAUCAAUAAGCGGAGGAAAAGAAACCAACAGGGAUUGCCUCAGUAACGGCGAGUGAAGCGGCAAGAGCUCAAAUUUGAAAGCUGGCUCCUUCGGGGUCCGCAUUGUAAUUUGCAGAGGAUGCUUCGGGAGCGGCCCCCAUCUAAGUGCCCUGGAACGGGCCGUCAUAGAGGGUGAGAAUCCCGUCUGGGAUGGGGUGCCCGCGCCCGUGUGAAGCUCCUUCGACGAGUCGAGUUGUUUGGGAAUGCAGCUCUAAAUGGGUGGUAAAUUUCAUCUAAAGCUAAAUACUGGCCGGAGACCGAUAGCGCACAAGUAGAGUGAUCGAAAGAUGAAAAGCACUUUGAAAAGAGAGUUAAACAGCACGUGAAAUUGUUGAAAGGGAAGCGCUUGCGACCAGACUCGCUCGCGGGGUUCAGCCGGCCUUCGGGCCGGUGUACUUCCCCGCGGGCGGGCCAGCGUCGGUUUGGGCGGCCGGUCAAAGGCCCUCGGAAUGUAACGCCCCCCGGGGCGUCUUAUAGCCGAGGGUGCCAUGCGGCCAGCCCGGACCGAGGAACGCGCUUCGGCUCGGACGCUGGCAUAAUGGUCGUAAGCGACC